This 507-nucleotide ribosomal RNA is filed under the name Strigamia bidens. RNAcentral's name for it is "partial 16S ribosomal RNA". It matches the Rfam family "Bacterial large subunit ribosomal RNA", at positions 1808 to 2612 of the family's 2925-position model. Lineage: Eukaryota; Metazoa; Arthropoda; Chilopoda; Geophilomorpha; Linotaeniidae. The record is from RNAcentral.
CAAAAACAUGGUCCAUUGUCUUUUAUAAUGGGUUGGGCCUGCACAGUGUUUUAAUAAACAGCCGCGGUAACUUGACUGUGCAAAGGUAGCAUAAUCAUUAGUUUUUUAAUUGGGGGCUGGAAUGAAGGGUUUGACGUAGAUUAGCUUUCUUAGUCCAUUUUCUUAAUUUUAGAUUACUGUGAGGACGCGGUAAUGAAGUUAUCUGACGAGAAGACCCCAUAAAGCUUAUUCGAGCGGGGGUUUGUUGGUCGCUUUUAUUUUAUUGGGGCAAUAUAUCUGUAUAGAGGAAUUAUUUAGUGUAUUUGUAUGCUUUUUUAGUCUUUAUUUUUGAUCCAUAUGUUUUGAUAAAAAGGAAGAGUUACUUUGGGGAUAACAGCGUAAUUGUGUUGGAGAGUUCUUAUUGAUGGCACAGUUUGCGACCUCGAUGUUGAAUUAAGAUACCAUUUUGCUGUAGUUGGCUUUAACGGGGGUCUGUUCGACCUUUAAAUUCUUACAUGAUCUGAGUUC